GCAGGCAUGGGCUGCAAACAAACACCAUCAUGUGUUGCUCUAAAUCAGACGAAGGCUGUUCAACUUCAUCAUAGCAAGUGUUACUGAGAGCCCUCUACCCUUCAGGUGCAGAGGGAGGGGACCCAUAGGUCCUUGGCAUUGUGGUUGAAGGAAAGGAUUUAACAAAGCCAUGCACAAUACCCUGCUGCGAGGCGGACCCGAGUCCAGGAGGUCGUGUGGCAGAGGCAUUGACCCUACAGACUGUGUUUGCCUGGCUCCAUCAGGGGCUCUGGCUGAAGACUCGAGGGCCAGGGAAGGAAAAGCAAUCGAUCCCAGGUCCUCUACCCCUGAAUUCCGGCACCUUGAUGAGGAGCUGUGUGUCCUCUGGCUGUCUCCCAUCCAGUGGCCCAGCCCCUGGGCUCCAGUAGCCUCCAGAAUGGUAUUUGUCAUGGCAGCCCAAGGAGACCUGUGCACACGAGGCCCUAGACUCUGUAGAUCCACGCAGCUUGCAGUCACCAUGCCUUUUGAAGCUGCUGUGCACCCAUUUAAACCAAGCCCAGAACUUUUCACCUCAUGUUUGGCACCAGGAAGACACCCUGUAAGCCUCUUAUAUUUGCUAAGUUUUUAUCACAAGUUUGGUUGCAUGGUACCACAUUUAUGGGUGGUUAUAUAAAGGAUGUGGCAGCGGAUCAUCUUUCCCAAGGAUGGCGCAGCAGUAUGGCCGUCCACGUGCGUCGCUACAGUGUGAACUCCACACGCCUCCGAGAGAGAAGAGGAGCCUGCAUCCUUGCUCCUUGACUCUGGGUCGGCCGUGACUUGCUGAAAAGAAGUUCGUGUAACUUCUGAGGCUGUGACUCCUCAGGCAAGGCCGAGGAGCUUUUGGCUGGCCCUCUGGGAUGCUCAGCUUUGGACACCUGAUGGGUUGUGUGGGAAUUCUGACCGCUCUGAGCCACCGUGAGGUGAGACCACUGUGGCCGUGUGAGGGCCGUGUGUGAGGGUUCUGGUCUCAGCUGACUGCUGCAGCCAUUGCUAGACAUGAGCAUGGAGCAGCCAUGUGUCCCUGUCACCCAAACUCCAGGCCCAUAAAAUGGUAAGCA
This 1076-nucleotide long non-coding RNA is filed under the name Fukomys damarensis (Damara mole-rat). Its description in RNAcentral is "lncRNA (ENSFDAG00000032137.1)". The record is from RNAcentral. Lineage: Eukaryota; Metazoa; Chordata; Mammalia; Rodentia; Bathyergidae.